RNAcentral lists this ribosomal RNA (254 nucleotides) under uncultured bacterium. RNAcentral's name for it is "partial 16S ribosomal RNA". It matches the Rfam family "Bacterial small subunit ribosomal RNA", at positions 524 to 776 of the family's 1533-position model. The record is from RNAcentral.
UACAGAGGGUGCGAGCGUUGUUCGGAAUUACUGGGCGUAAAGCGCGCGCAGGCGGCUUUUUAAGUCCGACGGUGAAAUGCCGGGGCUCAACCCCGUGCCCGCCGCGGAUACUGGGAAGCUGGAGACGAGUAGAGGCAAGCGGAAUUCCGGGUGUAGCGGUGGAAUGCGUAGAGAUCCGGAAGAACACCGGAGGCGAAGGCGGGUCUCUGGGCAACAACUGACGCUGAGGAGCGAAAGCGUGGGGAGCGAACAGG